RNAcentral lists this ribosomal RNA (551 nucleotides) under uncultured bacterium. RNAcentral's name for it is "bacterial SSU rRNA". It matches the Rfam family "Bacterial small subunit ribosomal RNA", at positions 355 to 896 of the family's 1533-position model. The record is from RNAcentral.
UAGGGAAUCUUCGGCAAUGGACGGAAGUCUGACCGAGCAACGCCGCGUGAGUGAAGAAGGUUUUCGGAUCGUAAAGCUCUGUUGUAAGAGAAGAACGAGUGUGAGAGUGGAAAGUUCACACUGUGACGGUAUCUUACCAGAAAGGGACGGCUAACUACGUGCCAGCAGCCGCGGUAAUACGUAGGUCCCGAGCGUUGUCCGGAUUUAUUGGGCGUAAAGCGAGCGCAGGCGGUUAGAUAAGUCUGAAGUUAAAGGCUGUGGCUUAACCAUAGUAGGCUUUGGAAACUGUUUAACUUGAGUGCAAGAGGGGAGAGUGGAAUUCCAUGUGUAGCGGUGAAAUGCGUAGAUAUAUGGAGGAACACCGGUGGCGAAAGCGGCUCUCUGGCUUGUAACUGACGCUGAGGCUCGAAAGCGUGGGGAGCAAACAGGAUUAGAUACCCUGGUAGUCCACGCUGUAAACGGAUGAGUGCUAGGUGUUAGACCCUUUCCGGGGUUUAGUGCCGUAGCUAACGCAUUAAGCACUCCGCCUGGGGAGUACGACCGCAAGGUUG